CUUUUGAUUGGUUUAGGGCACAGGAAGUAAAUUUGUUUAAACAAGCAGGUGUCAGCAACUGAUAAUGAGCUACAUUUUUAGACAUGAUUUAGCAAAUUAAGAUUUUAAAUUGUACUUGUAGUGUCAAAUGUCUUGAAAUACUGUCAGCAUGAAGUAUUGUGUGAUGAAAACAAAGUGUAUUUACUACAAUGUAGUAAAUCAAAGGAGGUCCAAAGUGGCUGGAUAGUGAAGAACAGUUGUAACAGGUAAAACUCUUGCCCCAAGGAAAGAAUGUGCAUUAUCACCUGCUAAAAAAGGAAGAAACAGGGGGAUACUGACUGAUGUAUGGACUUUAACACCAGGUUUUUACCCUUCAAGAGUUGGCCAACUAGAGUGAAGCAGGAGAGUGGGCUGUGCUUGACUAAGAAAAGCUGGAUUUGUUGAGAGAUCAAUACGCAUUCAAGAUCCUUAAGAAGAGAAGGACACAAGCAACAUCAGUGGUAGAUGUCACUCCAGCCCCUGCUUUUCCGGUCUCGCCUGCUGCUUUCCAGGUCCCUCCAGCUGCCAAGAUCAGGUCUAGGCACUGGCUGCCAUCCAGGCCCCCCUGGCGGUUGCGGUCGUGUUCUCAAAUGGCUGCUGUACUGGACUACUGGUCCCACCACCAUAUUCGGUCAAGGUCUCUCCAAAUGCUGAAGUCCAGGUUCCUCCGGCCACUGCGGUUCAGGUACCCCCAACAGCUGUGACCUAGUUCUCUGCAGCAGCUGCGAUCUAAAUAUAUUGACCCACUGCGGAACACUGCGGUUAAUCGUUUUUUCCAUACAAUCUUCCACAAAUGCCUCAUUUUAUAAUGAAGUGUACAAUUCUUAUGUUCAUAUUUGUUUGUGUUAUAAAGAUGAUUUUCCUGCACAUUGUGUUUUUUUCCCUUAAAACUGCAUGGAGCUAUUACUUUUUUUACUGAAACAUAUCAGCACAAAAUUGUAAAAGACUUUAACAUACUUUAAUACAAAAAAGUGUUUAAACCCACAGGAAACCACCUUGCCAAAAACCCACAAAAACUUACUGAGCAGGUUAUUGUUUGCCAAAACC
Molecule: long non-coding RNA, 1065 nt
Organism: Dreissena polymorpha
Lineage: Eukaryota; Metazoa; Mollusca; Bivalvia; Myida; Dreissenidae
Exons: 3
Source: RefSeq, a predicted model, not a curated record